Non-coding RNA from Styela clava, 310 nucleotides. Lineage: Eukaryota; Metazoa; Chordata; Ascidiacea; Stolidobranchia; Styelidae. The record is from RefSeq and is a predicted model, not a curated record.
AUAAAAAUGUCUGUUAAAUAUUAAGCACAGGUUCUUCCUGCAUCUGUUGCUAGGAUUUCGGAGAUGUCUGAAUUUGAAGCAACGCCAAGUUUUGCAAACUGCAAAAUACCUUUUUUGACAUAUGCAACAGCACUACUGACGUGGCUUCCCUCAAAAACGGAAAUCUACUACUACUCUCUGAAACUUCUGGAGACAUGCAGUAGAUCAGCUAAAAUUUCAUAAAUUAUUUUACACACUGGAAGUCUACAACAGGUCGCGGGGCUGGGAAUCCAUCGGUGCUCCAGUUGAUUGAAAAGCAGCAAAGAAAAAU